CGGGAGGCAGCAGUAGGGAAUCUUCCACAAUGGACGAAAGUCUGAUGGAGCAACGCCGCGUGAGUGAUGAAGGUUUUCGGAUCGUAAAACUCUGUUGUUAAAGAAGAACAAGUGUUAGAGUAACUGUUAACACUUUGACGGUAUUUAACCAGAAAGCCACGGCUAACUACGUGCCAGCAGCCGCGGUAAUACGUAGGUGGCAAGCGUUGUCCGGAUUUAUUGGGCGUAAAGCGAGCGCAGGCGGUUUUGUAAGUCUGCUGUGAAAGCCCUCAGCUCAACUGAGGAAGUGCAGUGGAAACUACAAAACUUGAGUACAGAAGAGGAAAGUGGAACUCCAUGUGUAGCGGUGAAAUGCGUAGAUAUAUGGAAGAACACCAGUGGCGAAGGCGGCUUUCUGGUCUGUUACUGACGCUGAGGCUCGAAAGCAUGGGUAGCGAACAGGAUUAGAUACCCUGGUAGUCCAUGCCGUAAACGAUGAAUACUAGGUGUUGGAGGGUUUCCGCCCUUCAGUGCCGCAGCUAACGCAUUAAGUAUUCCGCCUGGGGAGUACGACCGCAAGGUUGAAACUCAAAGGAAUUGACGGGGGCCCGCACAAGUGGUGGAGCAUGUGGUUUAAUUCGAUGCUACGCGAAGAACCUUACCAGCUCUUGACAUCUUCUGCCAACCCAAGAGAUUGGGCGUUCCCUUCGGGGACAGAAUGACAGGUGGUGCAUGGUUGUCGUCAGCUCGUGUCGUGAGAUGUUGGGUUAAGUCCCGCAACGAGCGCAACCCUUAUUAUUAGUUGCCAGCAUUUAGUUGGGCACUCUAGUGAGACUGCCGGUGAUAAACCGGAGGAAGGUGGGGACGACGUCAAAUCAUCAUGCCCCUUAUGAGCUGGGCUACACACGUGCUACAAUGGAUGGUACAACGAGUCGCGAAACCGCGAGGUCAAGCUAAUCUCUUAAAGCCAUUCUCAGUUCGGAUUGCAGGCUGCAACUCGCCUGCAUGAAGUUGGAAUCACUAGUAAUCGUGGAUCAGCAUGCCACGGUGAAUACGUUCCCGGGCCUUGUACAGCAC
This 1056-nucleotide ribosomal RNA is filed under the name Apilactobacillus kunkeei. RNAcentral describes it as "bacterial SSU rRNA". It matches the Rfam family "Bacterial small subunit ribosomal RNA", at positions 342 to 1390 of the family's 1533-position model. The record is from RNAcentral. Lineage: Bacteria; Bacillati; Bacillota; Bacilli; Lactobacillales; Lactobacillaceae.